AAGACGGGGAUUGGCCAUCGCUUCCGGAACUUGUGAGCUUUGUUUCGGAGCGGGAGCUCUUCCGAGACGCACUGGGGGCCGGAUGAAUCCUGCUUAUCUGCGAAAUGCAGUUAACACAUCAGCUGGACCUAUUUCCCGAAUGCAGGAUUGUCGAUCCAUUUCAGAUACUUGUGGCAGCAAACAAAGCAGUUCACCUCUACAAACUGGGAAAAAUGAAGACAAGAACUCUAUCUACUGAAAUUAUUUUCAACCUUUCCCCAAAUAACAAUAUUUCAGAGGCUUUGAAAAAAUUUGGUAUCUCAGCAAAUGACACUUCAAUUCUAAUUGUUUACAUUGAAGAGGGAGAAAAACAAAUAAAUCAAGAAUACCUAAUAUCUCAAGUAGAAGGUCAUCAGGUUUCUCUGAAAAAUCUUCCUGAAAU
RNAcentral lists this small RNA (421 nucleotides) under Pongo abelii (Sumatran orangutan). RNAcentral's name for it is "processed transcript". The record is from RNAcentral. Lineage: Eukaryota; Metazoa; Chordata; Mammalia; Primates; Hominidae.